Camellia sinensis is the source of this 659-nucleotide long non-coding RNA. RefSeq lists it as uncharacterized. The record is from RefSeq and is a predicted model, not a curated record. NCBI's taxonomy places the organism in Eukaryota, Viridiplantae, Streptophyta, Magnoliopsida, Ericales, Theaceae.
AACUCUUGAAUUAGAGCCAUAUAUCAUUGCUCAAAAGUUUUUAACCUGACCCUGACAAGUUUCUGCGUUUCUAGAUUUAUUGGUAGCCCUUUGUCUAUUCAUUUCUUUAUCCAUGUGUGAGAAAGCACAGACAACAAUUGUGAUCAACAGUUUUCAAGUGCUUGCUUAAAGGCAUUUUGGUGGAAGAUAAUGAAGCCUGUAACACCAUGCAAGAUUGCUCUUGUGGUUGUGUUCUUGUUCUUGUUCAAUUCAAUUGUGAUUGAAGACAUCUAUGGAGGUGAUGAAGCUCCUAAUCAUUUCAGUCAUGGAAAAUUUGAAGCUGUAGAAGACGGGACCUCUGAAGAAGGAGAUUUAAUCAUGGAGGACUAUACUCGAUCUCAGAAGAAGACUCCCAUUCAUAACUAAAUGGCAAGCAACCAGAAUGUCAAGUCUAAGAGAAGCCUGAAUCAACCCCAUGUAAAGCCGUUUUGGAAGUGCCUUCGAGAUGAAGUGUGCUUGGGCUCGAGCGGAGCCAGGGUUAUCAACCCUUUCGUCUUUUUGCUUUUGUCUUUUGUUAUUUUGGAAUUUGUUUUGAAUGUAAGGUUAAGAAUGUUGAUAUAUGACUAAUGUUUGAAUUGACUAUGAUGUAUUUUUUUUUCAAAAGAAGAAUGGAAGUUUAA